GAACGCUAGCUACAGGCUUAACACAUGCAAGUCGAGGGGUUAGCAUGGUCUUAGCUUGCUAAGGCCGAUGGCGACCGGCGCACGGGUGAGCAACACGUAUCCAACCUGCCGUCUACUCUUGGACAGCCUUCUGAAAGGAAGAUUAAUACAAGAUGGCAUCAUGAGUCCGCAUGUUCACAUGAUUAAAGGUAUUCCGGUAGACGAUGGGGAUGCGUUCCAUUAGAUAGUAGGCGGGGUAACGGCCCACCUAGUCUUCGAUGGAUAGGGGUUCUGAGAGGAAGGUCCCCCACAUUGGAACUGAGACACGGUCCAAACUCCUACGGGAGGCAGCAGUGAGGAAUAUUGGUCAAUGGGCGCAGGCCUGAACCAGCCAAGUAGCGUGAAGGAUGACUGCCCUAUGGGUUGUAAACUUCUUUUAUAAAGGAAUAAAGUCGGGUAUGUAUACCCGUUUGCAUGUACUUUAUGAAUAAGGAUCGGCUAACUCCGUGCCAGCAGCCGCGGUAAUACGGAGGAUCCGAGCGUUAUCCGGAUUUAUUGGGUUUAAAGGGAGCGUAGAUGGAUGUUUAAGUCAGUUGUGAAAGUUUGCGGCUCAACCGUAAAAUUGCAGUUGAUACUGGAUAUCUUGAGUGCAGUUGAGGCAGGCGGAAUUCGUGGUGUAGCGGUGAAAUGCUUAGAUAUCACGAAGAACUCCGAUUGCGAAGGCAGCCUGCUAAGCUGCAACUGACAUUGAGGCUCGAAAGUGUGGGUAUCAAACAGGAUUAGAUACCCUGGUAGUCCACACGGUA
Molecule: ribosomal RNA, 785 nt
Filed under: uncultured organism
Description: SSU rRNA
Rfam family: Bacterial small subunit ribosomal RNA
Source: RNAcentral